Molecule: ribosomal RNA, 1527 nt
Filed under: Bacteroides fragilis
Lineage: Bacteria; Pseudomonadati; Bacteroidota; Bacteroidia; Bacteroidales; Bacteroidaceae
Also listed under: 3 other names
Description: 16S ribosomal RNA
Rfam family: Bacterial small subunit ribosomal RNA
Source: RNAcentral
AAUGGAGAGUUUGAUCCUGGCUCAGGAUGAACGCUGGCGGCGUGCCUAAUACAUGCAAGUCGAACGCGAGCACUUGUGCUCGAGUGGCGAACGGGUGAGUAAUACAUAAGUAACCUGCCCUAGACAGGGGGAUAACUAUUGGAAACGAUAGCUAAGACCGCAUAGGUACGGACACUGCAUGGUGACCGUAUUAAAAGUGCCUCAAAGCACUGGUAGAGGAUGGACUUAUGGCGCAUUAGCUGGUUGGCGGGGUAACGGCCCACCAAGGCGACGAUGCGUAGCCGACCUGAGAGGGUGACCGGCCACACUGGGACUGAGACACGGCCCAGACUCCUACGGGAGGCAGCAGUAGGGAAUUUUCGGCAAUGGGGGAAACCCUGACCGAGCAACGCCGCGUGAAGGAAGAAGGUUUUCGGAUUGUAAACUUCUGUUAUAAAGGAAGAACGGCGGCUACAGGAAAUGGUAGCCGAGUGACGGUACUUUAUUAGAAAGCCACGGCUAACUACGUGCCAGCAGCCGCGGUAAUACGUAGGUGGCAAGCGUUAUCCGGAAUUAUUGGGCGUAAAGAGGGAGCAGGCGGCAGCAAGGGUCUGUGGUGAAAGCCUGAAGCUUAACUUCAGUAAGCCAUAGAAACCAGGCAGCUAGAGUGCAGGAGAGGAUCGUGGAAUUCCAUGUGUAGCGGUGAAAUGCGUAGAUAUAUGGAGGAACACCAGUGGCGAAGGCGACGAUCUGGCCUGCAACUGACGCUCAGUCCCGAAAGCGUGGGGAGCAAAUAGGAUUAGAUACCCUAGUAGUCCACGCCGUAAACGAUGAGUACUAAGUGUUGGAUGUCAAAGUUCAGUGCUGCAGUUAACGCAAUAAGUACUCCGCCUGAGUAGUACGUUCGCAAGAAUGAAACUCAAAGGAAUUGACGGGGGCCCGCACAAGCGGUGGAGCAUGUGGUUUAAUUCGAAGCAACGCGAAGAACCUUACCAGGUCUUGACAUACUCAUAAAGGCUCCAGAGAUGGAGAGAUAGCUAUAUGAGAUACAGGUGGUGCAUGGUUGUCGUCAGCUCGUGUCGUGAGAUGUUGGGUUAAGUCCCGCAACGAGCGCAACCCUUAUCGUUAGUUACCAUCAUUAAGUUGGGGACUCUAGCGAGACUGCCAGUGACAAGCUGGAGGAAGGCGGGGAUGACGUCAAAUCAUCAUGCCCCUUAUGACCUGGGCUACACACGUGCUACAAUGGAUGGUGCAGAGGGAAGCGAAGCCGCGAGGUGAAGCAAAACCCAUAAAACCAUUCUCAGUUCGGAUUGUAGUCUGCAACUCGACUACAUGAAGUUGGAAUCGCUAGUAAUCGCGAAUCAGCAUGUCGCGGUGAAUACGUUCUCGGGCCUUGUACACACCGCCCGUCACACCACGAGAGUUGAUAACACCCGAAGCCGGUGGCCUAACCGCAAGGAAGGAGCUGUCUAAGGUGGGAUUGAUGAUUGGGGUGAAGUCGUAACAAGGUAUCCCUACGGGAACGUGGGGAUGGAUCACCUCCUUUCU